This 318-nucleotide transfer-messenger RNA is filed under the name Nanofrustulum shiloi. Its description in RNAcentral is "ssrA". It matches the Rfam family "transfer-messenger RNA". Rfam says of the family: Bacterial tmRNA, also known as 10Sa RNA or SsrA, is named for its dual tRNA and mRNA-like properties. Its role is to liberate the mRNA from a stalled ribosome. The record is from RNAcentral. Lineage: Eukaryota; Bacillariophyta; Fragilariophyceae; Staurosirales; Staurosiraceae.
GGGGCUGCUUUGGUUUCGACAUUUAAAAAUAGUUAAAGUAUGAUACAGGUCGAAGUUUGUAUUCUUCGUAAAAAUUUACAAAUAAAAAAUAAAUGCUAAUAACAUAACUCCUUUUAACUUUCAAACAGUAAAUUUAAAUAAAACUCAAACACUUUUACUACAAUUUGCUGGUUAAACGUAAAGAACUUUUAUUAACAAAAUUAGUGCACUAUUACUAGACGUUUAGUACUAAGUAGUUUAGAAUAAUUUUAUCAGUUGUUCACUUACAGAACUAUGCCUGUGAACGAAUACUUUAUUUAACUUUAGAUGGACGUGGGU